CCUACGGGAGGCAGCAGUGGGGAAUAUUGCGCAAUGGGCGAAAGCCUGACGCAGCGACGCCGCGUGAGGGAAGAAGGUCUUCGGAUCGUAAACCUCUGUCAGCAGGGAAGAACGGUCACUGUGCUAAUCAGCAGUGAAUUGACGGUACCUGCAAAGGAAGCACCGGCUAACUCCGUGCCAGCAGCCGCGGUAAUACGGAGGGUGCGAGCGUUAAUCGGAAUUACUGGGCGUAAAGCGCUCGUAGGCGGUAUGUCAAGUCAAGGGUGAAAUCCCCGCGCUUAACGUGGGAACUGCCUUUGAUACUGGGAAACUUGAGUGUGUGAGGGGAGAGUGGAAUUCCAGGUGUAGGGGUGAAAUCCGUAGAGAGCUGGAGGAACAUCGGUGGCGAAGGCGACUAUCUGGCACAUAACUGACGCUGAUGAGCGAAAGCGUGGGUAGCAAACAGGAUUAGAUACCCCAGUAGUC
Molecule: ribosomal RNA, 465 nt
Filed under: uncultured bacterium
Lineage: Bacteria
Description: partial 16S ribosomal RNA
Rfam family: Bacterial small subunit ribosomal RNA
Source: RNAcentral